GAUUUUAAUCUCAUUGGCCCCUUUGGCCAAAAUCAAUUUUUGAAAAACCCCUACUUAUUCUCACUACCCCCUCUCCUUCCCAAUUUUUUCAUAAACCAACUCUACCCCUUAUCCCUUUAAUUCUACAUUUAAUUUAAUAUCAACAUAUUUUUUAUCAACCAAUCAAAAAAUUUCUCUCUCUUCUCUCAUUAAAAAAACAAACCUACCAAAUGUCUCACCUUUUACAACAUUAAACGUAGGAACAACGUAGGAGACUUUCUUCUUCUUCUUCUUCUUCUUCUUCUUCUUCUUCUUCUUCUUAUUCUUCUUCAACAGCUCCGACGUUGCAGCUCCGACGUUCU
This 341-nucleotide long non-coding RNA is filed under the name Arabidopsis lyrata. RNAcentral's name for it is "long non-coding RNA (ALYR_LNC002628)". Lineage: Eukaryota; Viridiplantae; Streptophyta; Magnoliopsida; Brassicales; Brassicaceae. The record is from RNAcentral.